GUCGUUACGGCAAAAGGUCCUGCUCGAGUGUAUGAAGAGGGAUGUGGACAGGUUAAGGGAGUUAGUGCCAUGGGUUAUGGUAGUAUGGUCGGAAAUGGUUCCGAGGUUGUACUGACGGCAUGCGCGGAAUCCCUCCACGGUGGCGAAAAUUACGGGUAAGGUUAACAAGGUGAUGGCAGCGUACGUGAGUCGGUCAGGGGGGGUUGUGAU
This is a non-coding RNA of Pelobates cultripes (western spadefoot toad), 210 nucleotides long. NCBI's taxonomy places the organism in Eukaryota, Metazoa, Chordata, Amphibia, Anura, Pelobatidae. The record is from the annotation of a GenBank genome assembly.